This 201-nucleotide long non-coding RNA is filed under the name Homo sapiens (human). RNAcentral describes it as "non-protein coding lnc-GEMIN2-4:1". The record is from RNAcentral. Lineage: Eukaryota; Metazoa; Chordata; Mammalia; Primates; Hominidae.
AAAGGACUGGCCAAUGUCAACAUCAGGAGCUUCAUCUGCAAUGUAGGGGCUGGUGGACCUGCUCCAACAGUUGGUGCUGCACCUGCAGAAGGUCCUGCCCCCACCACCACUGCUGCCCCAGCUGAGGAAAAGAAAGUGGAAACAAAGAAAGAAGAACCUGAGGAGUAUGAUGAUGACAUGGACUUUGGUCUUUUUGACUAA